UUCCGCCCGGACAGAACACCGGAACUUCCGGUAGCGCCGUAAGAAGGAAAAUCAGGGAAUUCGAUGCACCUGUGCCUAGUUAGGGACAGCGGUUGGUGAUUGGAGGAUACGCUGGACAAGGCAGUACUUAAGGCCAAGUUAUUUCACAGUCUGGGAGCUCUUUCUGGCUGGAAUUGUAUGAUUGUGAAGACAUCGCGAACCUUAAAGGUUGAGAAGUGAACGGAUUAUACGGCGAACUGAGACGACGUGAAAAAGGGGAUUGGAAGCGGCAUUGAUGUGAGUACUAAGAGCCAGUCGAAAGUGCCCUGUAUAUUGACCUGGCGUUGUGUAGAUCUCUCCAGGAGGAGGGCGGCCCUACCCCUAAUAUAGCGUGGUGGGAGAGCCGAAGGAAUACUUAUUGAAGUAGUCACAACGACGACAUCACUAGCUAGGCCGCAUAUUCCAUCGCCAGAUCCGAACCAAGCGAAGUGAAGGAAGACGGGUGUCCUUUUCGUACACUGAGUGUGGUGGGUGAGUCUUCGUGCUGUGAAAACCUAUAAUUUUGACGUGGUGUUGUAUAUUGCUGUGGGCUGCUGUGUAUUGCCGUGUGUCCUGUCAGAUAAACCCCCGCCUUCACGCACUUCGUCGCGGGAGGACAAGGAGACUGCUGGUCCUAGCCUAGUUCAGUACAGUAUAUGUUGUGAGCGUGCUUCAGAUCUCCGGAGAUAGCACGGUACGCUGUGUCCAGCCCAGAGGUGAAAGCCAUCCAAAGCAGAGUAACUGUGCUUUGUGUCCAAGUUGAUACCUGUGGAGAGGAAAGGAAAGAGAGAGUGAGUAACACAAGGAGAACCAGAGGGAACCUGUACUUACAGUACGCUGUGUUCAGCCCAGAGGUGAGAGCCAUUCAAAGCAAACUAACUGUGCUAUUGUGCCCAAGUUGAUAUCUGUGGAGAGAAAAGGAGAGAGAGUGAAUAACACGAGGAGAGACCGAGGGAAACCUGUACUUACGCCGCUGCCUGUGGAGAAAGAGAAAGCGACCGUUGCCUGUGGAGGAAGAGAAAGAGAGUGAGCACCCCGAGAACGAACUGUGUGAACCAGUACUUACCGUGAGCUGUAUUCAGCGAAGAGGAGGAAGAAGGAGGGCGCUACGGAUACCUAAGACUCAGGCCGGGGCCCGAGUCCCACGCCCCGGAUCCCCGUGGCCCCCUUGCUCCCUGACCUCUUCCCGGCCAUAGCCCAUCUGGAGGGCCGAGUCAG
Molecule: long non-coding RNA, 1236 nt
Organism: Cyprinus carpio carpio
Lineage: Eukaryota; Metazoa; Chordata; Actinopteri; Cypriniformes; Cyprinidae
Source: Ensembl